This 253-nucleotide ribosomal RNA is filed under the name uncultured bacterium. RNAcentral's name for it is "partial 16S ribosomal RNA". It matches the Rfam family "Bacterial small subunit ribosomal RNA", at positions 524 to 776 of the family's 1533-position model. The record is from RNAcentral.
UACAGAGGUCCCAAGCGUUGUUCGGAUUCACUGGGCGUAAAGGGUGCGUAGGUGGUCAGGCAAGUCUGAUGUGAAAUCUCCGAGCUUAACUCGGAAACUGCAUCGGAAACUGCUUGGCUUGAGGGUUGAAGGGGGGACUGGAAUACUUGGUGUAGCAGUGAAAUGCGUAGAUAUCAAGUGGAACACCAGUGGCGAAGGCGAGUCCCUGGACAACUCCUGACACUGAGGCACGAAAGCUAGGGGAGCAAACAGG